UACGAAGGGGGCUAGCGUUGUUCGGAAUUACUGGGCGUAAAGGGUCCGUAGGCGGUGUGGCAAGUCGGAAGUGAAAUCUCAGGGCUUAACCCUGAGGCUGCUUCUGAAACUGCCGUGCUAGAGUGCGAGAGAGGCGAGUGGAAUUGCAGGAGUAGCGGUGAAAUGCGUAGAUAUCUGGAGGAACACCCAAGGCGAAAGCGGCUCGCUGGAUCGCAACUGACGCUGAGGGACGAAAGCGAGGGGAGCAAACAGG
Molecule: ribosomal RNA, 253 nt
Filed under: uncultured bacterium
Lineage: Bacteria
Description: partial 16S ribosomal RNA
Rfam family: Bacterial small subunit ribosomal RNA
Source: RNAcentral